Molecule: non-coding RNA, 3152 nt
Organism: Microcebus murinus (gray mouse lemur)
Lineage: Eukaryota; Metazoa; Chordata; Mammalia; Primates; Cheirogaleidae
Source: RefSeq, a predicted model, not a curated record
AGCGUAACUGAGGCAAGAUCUUACAAAGGGUCCCUGAGCAAUGAAGACAACUAGCAGCCCAGAAUUUAAAAGUUUAUGGCUACUUUGUUUCAAACUCAUUCUCUUUCCUUAAAACACUCCUCCUAGCGUUUUCAAUCAUGAUGCUAUUCUUACACAAGCUAUGUGGUGCUCAAACUAUUAAUAACUUCUCUUUCAAAUAUUUCACACUAAAUUAUGUGUAUUUUUUCUAGCAUUACAAGCACACAAGUAAUAUAAAAAAAAGUCACCAACUCCAUUAUUCAGUAUCCAAAGCAAAAUCUGACCCAAAAAACAUAAAAGAUCUUAGAUUCGAGUAAAAGUGUUGUUUACACCAGUUAGUUCAGCUGUCUUAAGGGCCUAGAACUAGAGACUUUACAGUGGUAACUUUGGGGAACACCCUUGCUUGCUUCUGUGGUAGCUACAGAGUACAGCCAGCCAACCAUCUUGCAAAUAAAUACAUUUCCUUAGUCAUUAUAAACACUACACAAAAGAAAUCAAAUAGAUUAGAACAAAUGUCUUUUCAUUAUUGAAUAAACAACUCAAGGUUCAUCGUCUACUCAUAAUAUUAAUAGUCAUUUGAAAAAGUAUUUACUGGAAGUGUUCAAUGGCAUAAUAAAUGCUUUGAUAUACUGUGAUAAAAAUCAGCAUAAAAACUGUAUAUACACUUCAACAACAGGGAAUUAGUUAAGGAAACACUGGUCGGUCUACAUGGAACUGUACACAGACAAUAAAAAUCAUGUUUUAGAAGAAUAUUUAAGAAGUAGGGAAAUGCGUUCACAGUUCAUCUUUGUAUCAGUCAUGGUCCCGCCAGGAACAGAUAGCUCUAACAGGUGACUGAGAAGAGUGACUAUUUGAAAAGGUGCAGGCAGGGAUAAGGAACCCAAGGAGAGAUGGUGAAGCCCCCCAGGGCUAGCAACAUGGGAGUCCUUACCACUCUUAGGCCUGAAAGAGCAGGGAGGAAGCAACUAUUGAGCAAAACACAGUAACACCUGUAGCUAUAGAAGACCGCACGGCAGGAGCUGUGGACUUGGUGGAAUGAUGCCUCUUCCAACCCACGGCCUGGCAAGGAGGCAUCUGGGAAACAAAUGCUUCAGUCAGUCUGUCUUCCCACCACGGGAUGGCCUAUCAGUGCCUUCCCCUGGCAGCAUCCAUCCCAGAGGGCAAGGGAGCCUUUAGAGGUCAGCCUCCCAGAGCACAGCUGGACGGAGGAGGGCGGAGCGUGGAUCUGGAGGAGUAAAUGGAGAACACUCCACCUAACACUAAGUGGAAAGCACAGUAUUACAAUGUAAUCCUGAAUUUGCAAAUAUACGCAUGAUGUCACAGGUCAGGUUCCCUGGCAAAGAGAUUGGGAGAUUUACGUGCAGGUGUGUCAGGAUGCGCUCUCGGAAAUAGUACUGGGAGCGGGGAGGCAGGACCGUCAGAGGGAGAGGGGAACUGUGACGCGGUUGCAGCAGGGGCCUUGGUGACGCCCACAUGGAGCGCUGGAGCUGGGAUGGCCCUUCAGAGCUGUCACAAUCGAGGCAAGGAGGCUGGGCUUGAGUAGCCCCCCAACCACAGAUUACUGGAUGCAGGCUUCCCUGUGAGGCCAGGGGCGACGCCCGGAUAGCACCAUUAGCAGCUACGCUCCAGGCACUGGAGGAUGAAGGAAUGAGAUGUCAUCUUGGAACCAGGGAGCAGGCCUCACCAGACAACUGGACCUGCCAACACCUUCGUCUCGGACUUCUGAGCCUCCAGAACCGUGAGAAAAUUUCUCAAGACAGAAGUGUCGGCCAAACCGUAGAUGCAGAUGUGAUUUGACCAACAGAACAAAGUCACUGUAUCAAAAUGGAGAUCACCAUGGCAUUGACAAGGGAAGCAGGAGGAUCUCAGUGUCCAAGAAGGGUAAAGUCCUUUACACAGCUCCCAAGACUUUUCUGGAUCAAAUCCUCCCCGUCUUGCUUCAUUCUGUACACAUAUUCUUCUGUGUUCACCCAUCCACCCACCUCAAGUCCUUGAAGGCAGAGACUGUAUUACUCGUCUUUGUAUUCACGGUUCCCAGCACUGCCUGACACAUAGUAGAUACUUUGUAAACAUUUGUGGAAUGGAUGAAUGCUUGCCCGGGGGAUACAGGUAAUAAUCAGAUGCAGCAGCUCACACUGUAUCAGAGACUUGGCAGAGCCUCUGGUGCUCUCGAGGCACCACCAUGGCCAAGGUGAGCAUCCCCACCUUGGUCUCCUUCACUGGCCAACCAGGCAGCACAACGUCAACAGUUGAGGCUGCACCUAGAUAAGCACAAUAAGAAUGGGACACUACUGGACCCACAGAUCAGGCCCUAACAUUGCUGGAUGAUUGCCUACACUGGAAUGUAAACCUUCGAACUUCUAACAGAGUGUCUAGUGAGAAUGUUUGGUGGUACUAAGGUGUUUUCUGCAACAAGUCAGGCUGGGUGGCUCUGACUCAAUGUGUUCGCUGGGUUCCUAGCACUUUUAAAGAGAAAAUUCUCUGCAAAAUGGCCAGUAAUUGUUGCUGAAUAGGCCCUGGAUAUCCUGCAGAAGAGGUAGGAGGCGGCCCACGGAAAGGCAAGUGCAGGGGCUCUGCCGCCCCACGUCUCCUCUCCAGCCUGGGGCACUGUGGUCGGAUCAGAUCAGCCUGUGAACCACCUUAUGACAGAGGGGGCAUGGUGCUACCUGGCAUUCAUUGUCUUCAAGUGUUCCCUCCGCCUCAAGUCUUAGAGAACUUUGGUUGUCUCUAAACUGUGUGUGCGAGACAGAGAAGGUAGGGGUUGAGAGAGAGAAAAAAAAAGAUGCUAGAUGACUUCUCAGGUCCCUUCUGGAUCUAAAAUGUUGAGAUGAUUGUUCUGAAAGCACUAACAAUGGAUUUCCAGCUUUGGAAUCUGUGACUAGCAGUAUUCAAAACAUAUUCAUGAUUGCAGGAAGUAAGGCAGAGGAUCCCUAAGUGGAGAUACAAAACUAAAAAGGAAAGUGCGAGUGAAAUAUAUAAACUUCAAAUCAUUAGAAAGGCAAUACCACUUAAGCCACCUAGUCCGUACAGUGUCUCUAAGAUGGUCAAUUGGAAAGUAAGGCUCUUUGCUACAAGAGGCACUUAAAAAGGACAUAUAGUCCCAAACACUCCAGGUUUUCAUUUAUAUAGAUUAA